RNAcentral lists this transfer RNA (78 nucleotides) under Bacteroidetes bacterium OLB9. Its description in RNAcentral is "tRNA-Phe". It matches the Rfam family "tRNA". From Rfam's summary of the family: Transfer RNA (tRNA) molecules are approximately 80 nucleotides in length. Lineage: Bacteria; Pseudomonadati; Bacteroidota. The record is from RNAcentral.
UGGUACCUUAGCUCAGUUGGUAGAGCAUCGGACUGAAAAUCCGUGUGUCCCCAGUUCAAGUCUGGGAGGUACCACCCA